This 607-nucleotide non-coding RNA is filed under the name Clonorchis sinensis. RNAcentral's name for it is "Eukaryotic small subunit ribosomal RNA". It matches the Rfam family "Eukaryotic small subunit ribosomal RNA", at positions 4 to 605 of the family's 1831-position model. The record is from Rfam by way of RNAcentral. Lineage: Eukaryota; Metazoa; Platyhelminthes; Trematoda; Opisthorchiida; Opisthorchiidae.
CUGGUUGAUCCUGCCAGUAGUCAUAUGCUUGUCUCAGAGAUUAAGCCAUGCAUGUCUAAGUACAAAAAUUCAAACGGUGAAACCGCGAAUGGCUCAAUAAAUCAGCUAUGGUUCCUUGGAUCGUACAUACUACAUGGAUAACUGUGGUAAUUCUAGAGCCAAUACAUGCCACUAUGCCCUGACCCGCAAGGGAACGGGUGGAUUUAUUAGAACAGAACCAACUGGCGGUGACUUCGGUUGCUGUCGUUGCAUUCUGUGAUGACUCUGGAUAACUUUACUGAUCGCAGUCGGCCUUGUGUCGGCGACGGAUCUUUCAAAUGUCUGCCCUAUCAAUUUUCGAUGGCGGGUGACCUGCCUACCAUGGUGAUAACGGGUAACGAGGAAUCAGGGUUCGAUUCCGGAGAGGGAGCCUGAGAAACGGCUACCACUUCCAAGGAAGGCAGCAGGCGCGCAAAUUACCCAAUCCCGGCACGGGGAGGUAGUGACGAAAAAUACGGAUACGGCUCCGUAAUUCGAUGAGUACAAUUUAAAUCCCUUAACCAGGAUCAAUUGGAGGGCAAGUCUGGUGCCAGCAGCCGCGGUAAAUCCUGCUCCAGAAGCGUAUAUU